GGGCCCGUAGCUCAGCCCGGAAGAGCGGCGGGCUUUUAACCCGUAGGUCCCGGGUUCAAAUCCCGGCGGGCCCGCCA
RNAcentral lists this transfer RNA (77 nucleotides) under Aeropyrum sp. RNAcentral describes it as "tRNA-Lys". It matches the Rfam family "tRNA". Rfam says of the family: Transfer RNA (tRNA) molecules are approximately 80 nucleotides in length. Their secondary structure includes four short double-helical elements and three loops (D, anti-codon, and T loops). Lineage: Archaea; Thermoproteati; Thermoproteota; Thermoprotei; Acidilobales; Acidilobaceae. The record is from RNAcentral.